UAACACUUUUCUUGAUUCGACAAAAUAAUGUCAUUCACUCCAAUAAUUCAACUUCAUAAAAUCUUACGCAGCGGAUUCAUAAAAAAAAAUUCUUAUCAUCUUUAAGCAACAUAAAUACGACUUAACUUAAAGAGUAAACAACUAUAAUCCUUCAAACAAUUUAAAUUUUAGUAACAAUUAAAAGAUCCACAAAGCAGACACGCGACAAU
This 209-nucleotide long non-coding RNA is filed under the name Lathyrus oleraceus (garden pea). Its description in RNAcentral is "Pisum sativum (pea) long non-coding RNA (PSAT_LNC025012)". Lineage: Eukaryota; Viridiplantae; Streptophyta; Magnoliopsida; Fabales; Fabaceae. The record is from RNAcentral.